GGUAUAGCUCAAGUGGUAGAGUGUAUGGUUAACAUGCACAAGGUCCUGGGUUCAAUCCCCAGUACC
This 66-nucleotide transfer RNA is filed under the name Camelus bactrianus (Bactrian camel). It matches the Rfam family "tRNA". From Rfam's summary of the family: Transfer RNA (tRNA) molecules are approximately 80 nucleotides in length. RNAcentral also lists the same sequence under 3 other names. The record is from Rfam by way of RNAcentral. Lineage: Eukaryota; Metazoa; Chordata; Mammalia; Artiodactyla; Camelidae.